Molecule: small nuclear RNA, 263 nt
Filed under: Nannospalax galili (Upper Galilee mountains blind mole rat)
Lineage: Eukaryota; Metazoa; Chordata; Mammalia; Rodentia; Spalacidae
Description: 7SK RNA (ENSNGAG00000007428.1)
Rfam family: 7SK RNA
About the family: 7SK was discovered as an abundant small nuclear RNA in the mid-70s but a possible function has only recently been suggested.
Source: Rfam by way of RNAcentral
GGAUGUGAGAGUGAUCUGGCUGUGACACCUGUCACCUCACUGCCAGGGUUGAUUUGAUCAAGCUGGCUUAGUAGGUGUCUUCUUCCUCUCUCACCAUUCCAUGUGCAUCUCCCAAAGCUGUGCCCUUCCCCAGUAGGGAAGGACCAGGACCAUUCUUAACUACACUCUCCUGCUAGAACCUCUAAGCAAGCUCUCAAAGAUGUAAGUUGGAGAUAUAGCUUAGUGGUAAAGCACUUGCCUUUCAUGCACCUAAGACUCUAGGU